This is a non-coding RNA of Kwoniella sp. CBS 9459, 90 nucleotides long. The record is from the annotation of a GenBank genome assembly. Lineage: Eukaryota; Fungi; Basidiomycota; Tremellomycetes; Tremellales; Cryptococcaceae.
GGCGACAUAGCUCAGUUGGGAGAGCGCACGACUGAAGUAUCUACGUGAUCUUUCUUCGUGCGGUCCCUGGUUCGAUCCCGGGUGGUGCCA